AAGUGGGUCCUUACGCAAUAAAGCUUUAUGAACGGGUCAGGUCUUGACGGAAGCAGCCAUAAGUAAAAUACUUUAUGUGCCGUGAGAUUGCUUAUUUAGAG
Molecule: signal recognition particle RNA, 101 nt
Filed under: Tissierellia bacterium KA00581
Lineage: Bacteria; Bacillati; Bacillota; Tissierellia
Description: Bacterial signal recognition particle RNA
Rfam family: Bacterial small signal recognition particle RNA
About the family: The signal recognition particle (SRP) is a universally conserved ribonucleoprotein involved in the co-translational targeting of proteins to membranes. Archaeal SRP consists of a 7S RNA and homologues of the eukaryotic SRP19 and SRP54 proteins.
Source: RNAcentral